This 301-nucleotide ribosomal RNA is filed under the name uncultured bacterium. Its description in RNAcentral is "partial 16S ribosomal RNA". It matches the Rfam family "Bacterial small subunit ribosomal RNA", at positions 509 to 807 of the family's 1533-position model. The record is from RNAcentral.
CAGCAGCCGCGGGAAUACGAAGGGGGCUAGCGUUGCUCGGAAUUACUGGGCGUAAAGGGAGCGUAGGCGGAUGAAUUAGUCAGGGGUGAAAUCCCGGGGCUCAACCUCGGAACUGCCUUUGGUACUGUUCAUCUUGAGUAUGGGAGAGGUGUGUGGAACUCCGAGUGUAGAGGUGAAAUUCGUAGAUAUUCGGAAGAACACCAGUGGCGAAGGCGACACACUGGCCCAUUACUGACGCUGAUGCUCGAAAGCGUGGGGAGCAAACAGGAUUAGAUACCCGCGUAGUCCCUGUCUCUUAUAC